Molecule: long non-coding RNA, 3231 nt
Filed under: Homo sapiens (human)
Lineage: Eukaryota; Metazoa; Chordata; Mammalia; Primates; Hominidae
Description: HSALNT0084407
Source: RNAcentral
CUCUGGGCCAUGCCCAGGUAGAGUCGUGCACAGGUCCUACCCUCCAGCAGCUCAGAAUGUGCUUAGGCCGACGCGAAAACAAGUAAGUACAAUGUGAAUAUUGAUGCGUACCAGUCACCAUGAAAACACAGAACGGGGAACACCUGCUGCCGCCCACCUGAACUGAGCCUUCGUGAACAUGAGUUCAACAAGCAAACCAUGGGAUGGGGGGCAAGAAAUGGCAUUUCCAGCAGAUAUAAACGAACACAGGUACAUUUUAAAACAAAGCAAAUGCACCAAUGCACAAUGUCCUCAGGAAACAGGGGCGUGAUAAGCGGGUGGUGUGGCCAGAUGGUAAAACAGGGGCGGGGCUGGAAAGUUAAGGCCGGACGCUGAGUGUCCUUUACUACUAAGCUUAAGAGUUCAUACUACAGGCACCUGGGGGCCACCAAGAGGUUUUACUGGUCUGGCUGGUUGUUAUUGCUGCUGUUGUUGUUGCUUCGAGUAAGCGGAAGAGAUGAUAGCAGUGUGGAGGACGACUGUGACGGGGUAGAAAGGUGGGUAGUGGAGGCCGGGAGAGCAGCCGAAAGUCUCUCCCUGCACUUAGGCACAAAACCCCGGUUCUGAAUGAAGCAACUGCAGGAGAAGAGGAAGAAGGGCGCCACUGUAUGCCUGGGCUGCCAUCAGCAGCAUUGACUCAUUGCUAAAAGAGGGGAAAGCUCAGGACUCUAAAUCCUGAAUCCUUCAGACAGUCCUGCCAUUUCCCAAACAUUGCACCAACAUCAUGAAAUACUUUAAAAUCAAUAAAAAUGCAUGUGGCAGAAGGCAAUUAUUCAUACAUUAUCUGAAAACAAUAAAGGAAGAUAUACCUUCCAUUCAAUUUUCAGGAUUAUAUAUAUUACAGAGUCAACACCACAUAGAUGUCAUCAAGACUUACUGCUUGAGCCCUCUGGAGUGGUGGCACAAGCCAUACCCGGACCCAUCUGAGCCACGGCUGGGACAGCUGAGGAGUGCUGUGCCUGAAUGCAGGGAGCAGAGUCCCAAGCAUCUCUGAGCAGUGAAUGUUGAAGUCCCACGGCAACCUUCCUGGAAACCUUCUCUGGAAGGCCCUGUUCUGGGCCUGUGAUGGGAGGGGCAACCUGCUGAGCCCAUCAAAUGCCUUUGAUGUCUUUUCCCCAUUGUCUUGAUGAAUGGCACCUGGCUCCCUUCUAUCCAUGCUAAUCUCUUUAGCAAACAGUCUCUUGGCCACACUCUUAGUUUACUCUCCUAAACAUGCCUUUUCACUCUUUACAUGACCAAGGCUGCUCAUUUCCCAUAUAUUUUGUUCUGCUUCCCUUUUAAUUAUAAAUGCCAUCUUUAAAUCAUUUCUCUUCAUUCACAUCUUACUAUAUGUGGUUAAAAGUAGCUAUGCAGUUCCUCCAGUAUUUUGCUUAGAAAUUUCUUCCACCAGAUAUCCAAGUUCCUUGCUCUUAAAUUCUACCUCCCAUAAAGCCCUCAGUUGUGGACAUGAUUCAGCCAAGAAUUUAUAAUAGUUCUUUGUGAAUUUAUAACAAAGAUGGCCUUUACUCCAGUUUCCAUUACUUUGUUUCUCAUUUCCAUCUGAGAUCUCAUCAGAUUAGCCUUUACCAUAUCAGAAAUGUUCAUAUUUCUACCAGUAUUUUGAUUAGGACCACUUAAGUAAUCUCUAAGAAGCUUCAGACUUUCUCUACAAGUCUCUCCAGAAUCAUGCUUAAUGGUCUGUUCACAGCAAUAUAGGCUGUUGCUUGCCUGCUCCUCCACAUUUUCCCAGCAUCUAGCCAUUACCCAGUUCCAAAGGUGCUUCCACAUUUUCAGGUAUUUAUUAUAGCAACAGACCUACUUCUCAGUGCCAAUCUUCUUUCUUGGCUCAUUUUUUGUGGCUAUAACAGAAAAAUACAGACUGGGUAAUUUAUAAUGAACAGAAAUUUAUUUGGCUGGUGGUUCUGCAGGCCAGGAGUCCAAGAGCAUGGCAUCUGAUGAGGACUUUUGUGCAGCAUCAUCCCAUGGCAGAGGUGAAAGGGCAAGAAGUAUUGAGAGCAAAAGAUCAAGAGGGGGCCAAAGGUUUUGUAACGAAGUCACUCUUAUGAUAACUAACCCACUCCUGGAAUAACAACAUUAAUCCAGUCACGAAAGCAGUCCUUGUGACUUAAUCAACUCUUAUGACACCCUACCUCCCAAAACUGUUGCACUGGGGGUUGACAACACAUAAACUUUGGGGAAUACUUUCAAACAAUAGCAAUAUAAAUACAUAAAUUCUAACACAAAUAUGAUUUUAGAAAUAACACAAUACCCCAACUGAAAUAAAAACGUAAAAAGAAAUUUAUAGUAUAAUGUGCAUAGAAAUGUACAUUAUACACAUUUAGCACAGAAAUGCUCAGAAAAGCCAGCACUGGAGGUUGUAAUGCAGGAGUCAGGUGCUUGCUGCUGUCCUUAGAAUCUUCAAGAACAUGACAGCCACAGAGGCAGACGGACAGGGCUGGGCUCCACUGGUAAGUUAACCACCACAGGUGACUUUCUAACUCCAGUGAAGUUCCAAGCAAAAGGAUUUACACAAUGGUUUCUUUCCUGGAAAAUUUAGGGUACAUCACAACUAUUGGAAUACAGGUUUACCCACAUGAAAGUCCCACAGUACACUUAAAAAAUUAUUCAAUGGGCAAUACUGCCCCAUGAAUGCAGGAUAUAGAGUGUUCCCAGGCCAUGCCUACUAAAUGCAAGCAAAGCCCCCAAGUCUUUGUCACAAUCAAAACUGCCCCUCCAAAUUCCAUAAUAUAGCACCCCCCAGGGAGAAUCACCCCUAGAGGAAGCAGUGAGAAUUGCCUCACUAAACUAUGAGAUCCAAAAAGAAAAUCAAAGAAUGAAGCCUUUUAUUCAGGGCUCUGUCACCUGCCAAUCAAACAGCUCAGGGCCCACCCCAGGCCAUUGCCCAGGGGAGAUUUCACCAGGUCUUAGAACACAAGCAAAGAUUCAUCUUAGCAAAUCCAUCUCAGAACAGAACACAUGGAUAUAGGGAGGGGAACAUAACACACCCGGGCCUGUUGAGGGGUUGGGGGAAGGGGAGGGAGAGCAUUAGGAAAAAUACCUAAUGCAUGCAGGGCUUAAAACCUAGAUGACGGGUUGAUAGGUGCAGCAAAGCACCACGGCACAUGUAUACCUAUGUAACACACCUGCACAUUCUGCACAUGUAUCCCAGAACUUAGAGCAAAAUAAAAAUAAAAACUCCAUCUCAGAACAAAA